This 511-nucleotide long non-coding RNA is filed under the name Pan troglodytes (chimpanzee). Its description in RNAcentral is "lincRNA". The record is from RNAcentral. Lineage: Eukaryota; Metazoa; Chordata; Mammalia; Primates; Hominidae.
CUUACUGAAACCUCCAUCUCCCAGGUUCAAGCGAUUCUCAUGCCUCAGCCACUUGAGUAGCUGGGACUACAGGAUUUUGCCAUGUUCCCCAGGCUGGUCUCAAACUCCUGAACUCAGGCAGCCCGCCUACCUUGGCCUCCCAAAGUGCUAGGAUUACAGCCCAAAUGACCCUCCAAGACCCUCUGGAGGCACCCGCAGUGCUCCUUAAUUUGCAGCUCUGCAGAAUGAGACCAGCGUGGCAGCCCCCUUUCAGGACAGCUCCCGAGACGAGACGCGAGAGCAGCCCCUAAGUCUCACCCAGCAAAGCCGUUUCUUCCUAACUGGGCUGGGGAAUGCCGCGCGCUGCCAGCAGAUGGCGACAGAGGAUUAGCCUGCGGAAACCGGGUAAGGGGAGGGCGGAGCUGAGGUGAGAACCCACAUCCCUCAUGCCCAGUGGCAGCAGGCCACUGGUUUGCCCAGUCCUCACUUCUCUUGGACAGAGCUUGAGCCUUCUGGGAAACUGCUUUUCCCU